CGCGGCAAGUACUAGCUGGAUCUAGUAAGGAACCAUUGGGUCUCGGCACCAACGUCCAAUGCUCUCUAGAGUACUUCCAACUGUAAGAUUCCGCUAAAGUCAAGAUCCUAUGUUAUAUCCUGAAAGCAUAAAAGUUAUCCAGUUUGGUGGAAUGCCUCAGUGGAAAUUCAUGUGAAAUUGUGCACUCGGAAUCUGUUUGUGAUGGUUAUUUAAUCCGUAUGUAACUAUCUUGUGACUCGGGCUCCGGGGGUACUGGUUGAGUGCAUUUUGGUGUAAAAGUUUCACGUUUCGCAUACUUCAGUGGUAAAAGAUUGCUAGUGCGAAGAUAAGCUCCUCCGGAAAAUCUUGGAAGGCGUGAGAAAGGAUUUAGUGAUAUAGUAUUUUUGAAAGUUUUAAUGGUUCAGUGAUUUUCGAUGAAAUCUUGUGUUAUAGUUGAAAUGUUUAAAUAGUGUCAGUGGAUACCAAAAAAUUAAAUUCCAAUUCCGUUGUCACUCUGAAAUCUUCUUCGAAUCAGGACGUUAGAGAAUUUAGCAGCUCUUAAAUUAGACUGCUGUAAUUUCGAUGCUGAACGUGGCCGCAUUUCAAGAUGUGUAAAGACUGUGCUCAUCCGAUUUAAAGGCGAGAAUAAAUUCAGUUUAAAAGCAGAGGGAGAAAAAAUGCGGGAAAUUAGUGUCCAAAGUCAACAUACCCUGUAUUCCGGUUCGUGUGUUGGUUAUUCAAAUUAAACAAUUUUAAUGCGAAAAAUCGUCAGCAGCCAUGGACAUUCAUAUAUUGGAGAGUCCCAUUUCAUUGCCGAUGAAUUUCAAUUCAAUAAUGCACCAUCUGAUAUUCGAAUAAAAAUUUUCCGAUAAAAUGGAGGUCAACAUGGAUGACAAUUCAUCACUGACAACGGACUACUAUAGCUAUUAUUGGAAUAUCACAGAUUACUACAGCACAGAUAAUUAUAACUAUGUUUCGACGACGAGCAACAGCACCAACUCCAGCUUUGCCCAGGCAAAUAUGUUCAUAUUGCCGUGGUGGCGCCAGCUCUUGUGGAGUAUCUUGUUUGGCGGCAUGGUCAUUGUGGCAACUGGAGGCAACCUCAUCGUCAUUUGGAUAGUCCUCGCCCACAAGCGGAUGCGAACGGUCACGAACUACUUUAUAGUGAACUUAUCUAUAGCUGAUGCCAUGGUUUCCACCCUCAAUGUCACUUUUAACUACAUCUACAUGCUGUAUGCCGACUGGCCAUUUGGAACGUUGUAUUGCAAAAUAGCACAAUUCGUAGCGAUCCUCAGUAUAUGUGCCUCCGUGUUCACGCUAAUGGCUAUAUCUAUUGACAGAUACAUGGCCAUCAUGAAUCCCCUACGACCUAGAAUGGGCAAAAGGAGUACUCUGUGUAUAGCGGGUGCAAUAUGGGUGCUCGGGAUUAUUUUAUCAUGCCCGAUGUUGGUAUUUUUUACGACGUACAAUGAAGUGUUGAACAAUGGAAAAAUUAGGGUAGUUUGUUAUGCUGAAUGGCCGGAUGGACCAACUAAUCAUUCAUUACAGGAAUAUGUAUACAACGUUGUGUUUAUGUUUCUAACGUACUUUUUACCAAUUGGGUCCAUGACUUUCACAUAUGCCCGCGUUGGACUGGAGCUUUGGGGUUCACAAAGUAUCGGUGAAUGUACCCAGAGGCAAUUGGAUAAUAUUAAGAGCAAGCGCAGGGUUGUUAAGAUGAUGAUGGUCGUAGUAGUUAUUUUCGCUGUAUGCUGGCUACCAUUCCAUAUUUAUUUUAUAGUAACUUCAUAUUAUCCUGAAAUAACAAGCCUGCCGUAUAUCCAGGAGUUCUACUUAGCUAUCUAUUGGCUGGCGAUGAGCAAUUCCAUGUACAAUCCAAUGAUUUAUUGUUGGAUGAAUUCCAGAUUUCGUCGGGGAUUUAAACAGUUUUUUUGUUGGUGUCCUUUCGUUAAACUCACUCCGGAAACAUUACAACGACGGGAAGUCCUAACCUCGCGGUAUUCAUGUUCUGGAUCACCUGAUCAUCAUCGAAUUGUAAGAAACGACACUGAAAGGUCUUUUCUGUAUACGUGUCCGGGCUCGCCGAAACACCGAAGGAUGUCACAUGGCGAUGUCCUCAUAUCACUCAACGAUUUUAAUUUCUUAUCUACGGUGAUGUGAACAGAGAGGAUAAUUUUGAACUCUUCGGAAUUUUCAUUUUAUGUCAAGUCUUGAUGAAGGCCGAAGAAAUUGAAAAGUACCAGGGAUUUUCCAAGGCAUAAGUGGUCUUAACAGAAUAUGCGGAGUUGAUGAUAAGAAUAAAUGACGAUUGAAAUAGGGGACUGGACUGAGGACGAUCGAUGAAGAAAACUCCCUUUCCUGAUGGACUGGUGCCGACAUAAGGCGUCCACUUUUAAUUGAUGCAAAGGAAAGCAAUACUAAGAAAAUCAUUUGGAGCAAUUGUCUUUUCCGCUAGAAAGCUAAUAUUUGCCAUUCA
RNAcentral lists this unclassified non-coding RNA (2455 nucleotides) under Hermetia illucens (black soldier fly). RNAcentral's name for it is "tachykinin-like peptides receptor 99D, transcript variant X6". The record is from RNAcentral. Lineage: Eukaryota; Metazoa; Arthropoda; Insecta; Diptera; Stratiomyidae.